UCCCCUCAGCAGCCUCCUGUGCUCUAGACAGACAGAUUGCUUCCGGCAAUGUAUCAGUGCUCAUUCUUAACAAGUCUGUACAAAUUGAGGCGUCGCUGGGACAGAGAGGACGAGUCGGAAACGCGAAGCGCGUCACUGAUAACAUCACAGCGGUAUACGCUUGUUGUCCUAGCUAAACAUGAGCACAAUUCUCCUUAGCAUUUUAAGCCCUCGCCUACCCAAACUCGUGAUUUGUUGGGAGAGCUGUCUGUCUGAAGAGGACUCUCUCUGGGAUACGUUUUUAGUAUGUCCCUUUCGAAAUGACAGAGAGAAUCCGACAUCCUCCCCAGACGUUGUGCCGUUUACAAUGCUCCAAGGUCUGGGAUAUCAGAGACUAGGGACUGCUGGGACCUUGUACAACCAGGUAUGCAGACGAGGAGGCAUACGAUGGCAUGUCAAUUGCUAUUGGUAUGUUUUGCAGAUCACAUUUACCAUCUUCCUCUCUUACCUCUUCAAUGAAUAUCCCAUAAGCCACAUUAUGGACAAGACUUCCCCUUCCCUACACCUUGAUGAAUAUAACAGGAAACCUGUUCGAUCACCAUGCACUGCAAAAUCAUUCUGGCUAUGGAUACGGAGAACCUCAAGACAUUAACAUCAACACGCCAGAGGAUAUACCCAUUAUACUAGGGGCUCUGCUGGGAGUAUACCUCAUAUUUAGAUUUUUUUAUUCUGCCUUGCCGCUAAAAUCAUAAUAAACACAACACUGACAACUAAAA
Long non-coding RNA from Oncorhynchus mykiss (rainbow trout), 755 nucleotides. RefSeq lists it as uncharacterized. Lineage: Eukaryota; Metazoa; Chordata; Actinopteri; Salmoniformes; Salmonidae. The record is from RefSeq and is a predicted model, not a curated record.